This 253-nucleotide ribosomal RNA is filed under the name uncultured bacterium. Its description in RNAcentral is "partial 16S ribosomal RNA". It matches the Rfam family "Bacterial small subunit ribosomal RNA", at positions 524 to 776 of the family's 1533-position model. The record is from RNAcentral.
UACAUAUGUGGCAAGCGUUGUUCGGAAUUACUGGGCAUAAAGGGUUCGUAGGCGGUUUGGCAAGUCAGGUGUGAAAUCCCUCAGCUUACCUGAGGAACUGCAUUUGAGACUGCCAAACUGGAGUGCUUGAGAGGAAAGUGGAAUUCCAGGUGUAGCGGUGAAAUGCGUAGAUAUCUGGGAGAACGCCAAUGGCGAAGGCAGCUUUCUGGCAAGUAACUGACGCUGAGGAACGAAAGCCAGGGGAUCAAACGGG